RNAcentral lists this ribosomal RNA (409 nucleotides) under bacterium. RNAcentral's name for it is "partial 16S ribosomal RNA". It matches the Rfam family "Bacterial small subunit ribosomal RNA", at positions 355 to 776 of the family's 1533-position model. The record is from RNAcentral.
UGGGGAAUAUUGCACAAUGGGCGAAAGCCUGAUGCAGCGACGCCGCGUGAGGGAUGACGGCCUUCGGGUUGUAAACCUCUUUCAGCAGGGACGAAGCGCAAGUGACGGUACCUGCAGAAGAAGCACCGGCUAACUACGUGCCAGCAGCCGCGGUAAUACGUAGGGUGCAAGCGUUGUCCGGAAUUACUGGGCGUAAAGAGUUCGUAGGCGGUUUGUCGCGUCGUUUGUGAAAACCAGCAGCUCAACUGCUGGCUUGCAGGCUAUACGGGCAGACGUGAGUACUGCAGGGGAGACUGGAAUUCCUGGUGUAGCGGUGAAAUGCGCAGAUAUCAGGAGGAACACCGGUGGCGAAGGCGGGUCUCUGGGCAGUAACUGACGCUGAGGAACGAAAGCGUGGGUAGCGAACAGG